AUUUUUACACUUGAACUUCUUAGAUAGUAUAAUUCACAUACAUACAAUAAUCUAUAACAACAUUAAGUUAUAUUUUGAGAGAAAGGUAAAAAUUGUAUAUAGAGACAAUUAAAGAUAGUGACAAAAUUUGUUUGAGCGUCGAGUUUGACAAAAACGAAGUUACUUUUGUCAUUUACGGAAGAAAACAAUUUGAAAUACGACAAAAUAU
Molecule: long non-coding RNA, 208 nt
Filed under: Ananas comosus (pineapple)
Lineage: Eukaryota; Viridiplantae; Streptophyta; Magnoliopsida; Poales; Bromeliaceae
Description: long non-coding RNA (ACOM_LNC015665)
Source: RNAcentral